ACUCCUACGGGAGGCAGCAGUGGGGAAUAUUGGACAAUGGGAGCAACCCUGAUCCAGCAAUGCCGCGUGAGUGAAGAAGGCCUUCGGGUUGUAAAGCUCUUUUACCAGGGAAGAUGAUGACGGUACCUGGGGAAUAAGCUCCGGCUAACUUCGUGCCAGCAGCCGCGGUAAUACGAAGGGAGCUAGCGUUGUUCGGAAUUACUGGGCGUAAAGGGCGCGUAGGCGGCUCUGUAAGUCAGAUGUGAAAGCCCCGGGCUUAACCUGGGAACUGCAUUUGAUACUGCAGAGCUAGAGAUCGAGAGAGGAAAGUGGAAUUACGAGUGUAGAAGUGAAAUUCGUAGAUAUUCGUAGGAACACCGGUGGCGAAGGCGACUUUCUGGCUCGAUACUGACGCUAAAGCGCGAAAGCGUGGGGAGCAAACAGGAUUAGAUACCCUGGUAGUC
Molecule: ribosomal RNA, 443 nt
Filed under: uncultured Pseudomonadota bacterium
Lineage: Bacteria; Pseudomonadati; Pseudomonadota
Description: bacterial SSU rRNA
Rfam family: Bacterial small subunit ribosomal RNA
Source: RNAcentral